This 43-nucleotide ribosomal RNA is filed under the name Suillus granulatus. RNAcentral describes it as "partial 28S ribosomal RNA". The record is from RNAcentral. Lineage: Eukaryota; Fungi; Basidiomycota; Agaricomycetes; Boletales; Suillaceae.
UUUGACCUCAAAUCANGUAGGACUACCCGCUGAACUUAAGCAU